This 405-nucleotide long non-coding RNA is filed under the name Urocitellus parryii (Arctic ground squirrel). Its description in RNAcentral is "lncRNA (ENSUPAG00010006064.1)". The record is from RNAcentral. Lineage: Eukaryota; Metazoa; Chordata; Mammalia; Rodentia; Sciuridae.
AAAAGAUCCGGUUCGGAAGCUUAGAUAUUUGGCUUGGGCCUCCCGGCAGGGCGGGGCGAGGUGGGCCUGAAUCUUCACGGGGCGGGGCCACGCUCUACUGGGCGGGGCCUCAAGCAAGGGGUGGAGUCGACGGCCGGGUACCUCCUCACGUGCGGGACUGGCGAGCCCGCAGGACUGGGCGCGCGUGGGUGUGUGGAUGAGCAGGACACGAGGCAUUUCCACGGGGGACCGAAUGGAAGGACAAGCAGAGACCAUACUCCUGGGGAUCACGCGAGGGCAGGCACAAGGUGGGGCGGUGGGUGGGACCCAGCUUUCCUAGAAACCCCUCUGGGGUCCUCUCUCCUCCCCACUUGGGGCAUUAUGAGACCUCAAAAUGUCAAGGAAAAAACGAGGAUUUUCCUUCCA